Camellia sinensis is the source of this 493-nucleotide non-coding RNA. The record is from RefSeq and is a predicted model, not a curated record. NCBI's taxonomy places the organism in Eukaryota, Viridiplantae, Streptophyta, Magnoliopsida, Ericales, Theaceae.
GUAGUCCUUCCUCUUCAAUAUUUGGGAAAUUAUGCAUUUAUCGCUUGUACACAUAAUUGUUUUAAUUGUAAGCUGUGUGAACGAAAUGCAAAAUCUUGAUGUGUGCCCUUUCUUUUGGCUGUUUCAAAAUCUGUAUAUGUGUUGGGAAAUUCUGCGUGUUGUUGUCUGUGUUUACGCAAAAUUUUAAGGUUAACAGCCACAUGUUGUAGCCGUUUGUUUGUGUUCUUGUAAAUAUUGAUUGGAAUACUUUGCAGGAGUUGUUGUCAUUGCAUCUGAUGGAUAUUGGUCACCUCACACCAACAAUGGGAAGGAAAAGAUUGAAGACAAUUGCCGAACAACAUAUCCAAAUGUCUGACACUAUCGCUGGCUCUUGUCGAAAGCGGCCAGUUGCACCAUUCAUUUGUUACAGUCCCGGAUGUACGAAAGCUGUCUUAUGCCGAUUUCGGGGCCAGCUUGACAUAAAAACUUGCAUAUAUAUAUAUAUAUAUGUAUU